This 428-nucleotide ribosomal RNA is filed under the name uncultured bacterium. Its description in RNAcentral is "bacterial SSU rRNA". It matches the Rfam family "Bacterial small subunit ribosomal RNA", at positions 355 to 774 of the family's 1533-position model. The record is from RNAcentral.
UGGGGAAUCUUCCGCAAUGGACGAAAGCCUGACGGAGCAACGCCGCGUGAGUGAAGAAGGUUUUCGGAUCGUAAAGCUCUGUUGUUUAGGACGAGUGUAUAGCUGUUGAAUAAUAGGUUAUAAUGACGGUACUAAGCGAGAAAGCCACGGCUAACUACGUGCCAGCAGCCGCGGUAAUACGUAGGUGGCAAGCGUUGUCCGGAAUUAUCGGGCGUAAAGGGUACGUAGGCUGCAUCAUAAGUCGGGCGUGAAAGGCAGGGGCUCAACCCCUGGAGUGCGCUUGAUACUGUGAUGCUAGAGUCAUGGAGGGGGAACCGGAACUCUCGGUGUAGCAGUGAAAUGCGUAGAUAUCGAGAAGAACACUCGUGGCGAAGGCGGGUUCCUGGACAUGUACUGACGCUGAGGUACGAAGGCUAGGGGAGCGAAAG